Drosophila erecta is the source of this 689-nucleotide long non-coding RNA. RefSeq lists it as uncharacterized. The record is from RefSeq and is a predicted model, not a curated record. The transcript is spliced from 3 exons. Lineage: Eukaryota; Metazoa; Arthropoda; Insecta; Diptera; Drosophilidae.
AUCCACUUGGAAAUAAUCCCCAGGAAUAAACAAAAGCUGUGACCUUUGAACGCCCGACAAAAUCGCGUGGGAGGAAAAGGACUGGACUUUUUGGCAACAGAACCGCGGAAGGUUCUAAAAUGAGGAGCCCCUUGUUUCUUCUUCGGUUUAUUGUACAAAAUAUGAUCGGCGUCUAAGAGCUUCAUUCGCUAAGAUUUUGCAAACAGAAGCCUUGUUGUGGUUUCUUUUCUAUGUUUAAAAUGUUGAUAAUAAAUGUCUUCAACAGGAACACGUGUUGCGUCCUCGAAAUUCGAGAGAGAAGUGAAAAGGAAAAGAAAAGUAGGCAGCCUUUCUAAAAUACCACACGAUAACUUUUAUAAAGUCAGUAUUUUAAAAAGUUAACAAUGUCUGGCUUCCUAUCGAUUUCGAAGAAAAUAACUAAGUGGAAUUGGAAUAUAGAUGAAUUUACAAAAAUCAACAACAAAUUAUCCGAUGUUGGCCAUUUAUUUUGCUGCGAUUGAUUAUACACAUAUGAUUUAAUAAAAGGAUCAGGGACAUCCACUGGGACAUCAGGGUGCAUGCUCAAAUUCUCAUGCACCACAAUUCCAUAGGGAUUUAGAGGUUGCAGGGGUCGAAUCGGAUUCGCCAAAUCCAUAGUACCGCGAUCAAAAGGCUUCUCUUGUGGCUCUCCCUCACCGCACCAUCACAGC